RNAcentral lists this long non-coding RNA (286 nucleotides) under Hordeum vulgare. RNAcentral's name for it is "long non-coding RNA (HVUL_LNC007120)". Lineage: Eukaryota; Viridiplantae; Streptophyta; Magnoliopsida; Poales; Poaceae. The record is from RNAcentral.
GGGUCGGAGACGAACUCCUGGUGGCCCAGGCGGCCUCCCUGCGCGGCCAGGAGGCACGCCACGCCACCAGGUCGCCUGGAGCCCCGGGAGCUCCUCUUCGGCUCCACCUUGGCUCGGAAUUUUCCUAAUUUUGCAAAAAAACACAUAAUACAGAACUUUUAUUGAUGUUCGUGAAGUUUCCUUACCGUAUUACAUACCUAUUUGUGUUCUUCUUCUGCUGAUGUCUGACACAGUAUUACAAUAUGUUCUUCAUGAGUAGCUAUUUGUAUCGCAUCCACCUCUACAU